GUAAAGAAAAGGUAAGGUGAAUUCUCUUACCUGUGCUGGUUCUCAGCCUGCCGUCUGGGAGGAAAGUCCUUCCUCCCGCAGCCCCACGGACUCCGUAGCAUAGGUCCUUGGGCUGCUGUUCCCGAUGUCACC
This is a long non-coding RNA of Amblyraja radiata (thorny skate), 132 nucleotides long. RefSeq lists it as uncharacterized. The record is from RefSeq and is a predicted model, not a curated record. The transcript has 3 exons. Lineage: Eukaryota; Metazoa; Chordata; Chondrichthyes; Rajiformes; Rajidae.